Molecule: ribosomal RNA, 19 nt
Filed under: Plagiomnium succulentum
Lineage: Eukaryota; Viridiplantae; Streptophyta; Bryopsida; Bryales; Mniaceae
Description: partial 28S ribosomal RNA
Source: RNAcentral
GGACAUCUAUCGGAAAAGA